UGGCGGACGGGUGAGUAACGCGUAAAGAACUUGCCCUUUAGACUGGGAUAACAGAGGGAAACUUCUGAUAAUACUGGAUAAGUUAGUAUAUCGCAUGAUAUGCAAAUGAAAGCUACGGCACUAAAGGAGAGCUUUGCGUCCUAUUAGCUAGUUGGUAAGGUAAGAGCUUACCAAGGCGAUGAUAGGUAGCCGGCCUGAGAGGGUGGACGGCCACAAGGGGACUGAGAUACGGCCCAGACUCCUACGGGAGGCAGCAGUU
This 259-nucleotide ribosomal RNA is filed under the name uncultured Leptotrichia sp. RNAcentral's name for it is "partial 16S ribosomal RNA". It matches the Rfam family "Bacterial small subunit ribosomal RNA", at positions 96 to 355 of the family's 1533-position model. The record is from RNAcentral. Lineage: Bacteria; Fusobacteriati; Fusobacteriota; Fusobacteriia; Fusobacteriales; Leptotrichiaceae.